RNAcentral lists this long non-coding RNA (403 nucleotides) under Cyanistes caeruleus (blue tit). Its description in RNAcentral is "lncRNA (ENSCCEG00000019349.1)". The record is from RNAcentral. Lineage: Eukaryota; Metazoa; Chordata; Aves; Passeriformes; Paridae.
AUACUACCUUGGAGAAUAAAGACCAUUACUACUAAUGUGGCAAGCCUGCUGGAGAGGAGGUCCAACAGGUUUAUAAAUACUCUAUCUUAUUUUUCUAUCAUCACAAUUUGGACAUAUCUUCCAUUUCAAAAUAACCAACUCUUAACUUUGUCUCCUAGCCAUUCUGCAUGGUGGAGUGUUGCUGCAGUUUGGCUUCCAAGUCUCAUCAACAGUCAGGAAAGAAGUAACUGUCUGCUCCAGCUCUUUUAUGGCUUUAAGAGGAACUUAAGACGGAAUUCAGCGGCUACCUUUUGUGGAGAGACUAAAAAGAUUGGGAGUCUUCAGCAGUGAAAAGAGAAGGUGGGGAAGAGAAGUGAUGACAUCAUGAAAAUUCUGGAUAAGGUAGGAGCAAAAUUUCUGUUCA